Molecule: non-coding RNA, 29 nt
Filed under: Mus musculus (house mouse)
Lineage: Eukaryota; Metazoa; Chordata; Mammalia; Rodentia; Muridae
Source: RNAcentral
UCCAUAGCAUUUUGAUCAGCACCGUGUUC